RNAcentral lists this long non-coding RNA (580 nucleotides) under Vulpes vulpes (red fox). Its description in RNAcentral is "lncRNA (ENSVVUG00000021802.1)". The record is from RNAcentral. Lineage: Eukaryota; Metazoa; Chordata; Mammalia; Carnivora; Canidae.
GGGAUAGAAAAUAAUUACAUAUAUUUGGUCUGAGGUCUUUGAAACUAUAUCUGACAAAGGCUCUUCUCCACUCACAGAUGCAGACUGAAUUCGCUGGAAUGAUAACAGCAUAGCUAAAGGGUUUGCAACUCAAUUACCCAUCAGCCAUUGAAUAUGCACCUGCUUCUCAGAUUGGCAAGGCAACAAUUUACUGUGAAGAAUCAGUUGUUUUGAAUGGCUAAUUGGUUACAGGUGCAAUGAAUUAGCCAUCUGCCUUAGAGACUGACUCAACUAAGGGAAGGAAAAUCCUUUUCUGUCACUUUGGGAGCACAUCAGUGAGCUGUGAUUCUAACUUGGAAUUUGUGGAUUCUAUGUGGGAUGAGGAGACUAAGGCAUAGAGGAAUCAUUUGGCUUAUCUAAAGGCAAGCAGUAGUUAAGAAAACCAGAAGGAAAAGUAAGUUCUCUUGAAUUCUAGUUUUUCUUUACUAUUAAAAUAUGAAUUUUAAUAGUUGAAUUAUCCAUAGAGUUUCUUUGUAUUGGUUAAAAUGCCCUGGAUCACUUAAUUCCUUCAUUUGGCUAACUCAUGCAUAUGAAGAUACUG